AGCACUGCAGGUGCCUGUAAUUAACUCACUAAUUGUGCCGUUGUCAGUUCAUCUUGGAACAGAAUGGGGGGUCCGUGUCUCUCUUUGCUGCUGUACUGGAGGGAUCCCCUGCACCACCCUGCUCUGGGCAAUUCAACAAAAAUGGCAGCACAGCGCUGUAAUGGAACAAACCCCAGAAUGUUGAGGUGGAGAUUCAUACCCAGGUUUUUACCAGUGAUUGUCACUAUUGUUGGUCUGACCUCCUUAACUGUAAGUACUUAAUUACUUUGCUUUUGUGUACAGUGGGAAUGAGGGGUGGCUUUGCAUGGAAAGGUACAAUAUUGUCACCCGGACCGAUUUAAUUCCAUUAUUUACCAGCUAUCGUUGGCAUGACUUUCUUAAUUGUAAGUACUUCAUUUCUUUGCUUUUGUGUAUGGUGGGAACGGGGGUUGCUUUGCAUGUAAACCUAUAUAGGAAAGGUACAAUAUUAUCACACAGACAUAUUACUGUUUUUUACUACUGAUCGUCGAUAUUGUUGGUCUGACCAUCUUAACUGUAACUACUUAAUUUUUUUACUUUUGCUUAUGGUGGGAACAAGGGGCUGCUUUGCAUGUAAACAGGUAUAUAUUGUCACCAC
Xenopus laevis (African clawed frog) is the source of this 616-nucleotide long non-coding RNA. RefSeq lists it as uncharacterized. The record is from RefSeq and is a predicted model, not a curated record. The transcript is spliced from 3 exons. NCBI's taxonomy places the organism in Eukaryota, Metazoa, Chordata, Amphibia, Anura, Pipidae.